RNAcentral lists this ribosomal RNA (655 nucleotides) under uncultured Actinomycetes bacterium. RNAcentral's name for it is "bacterial SSU rRNA". It matches the Rfam family "Bacterial small subunit ribosomal RNA", at positions 232 to 885 of the family's 1533-position model. The record is from RNAcentral. Lineage: Bacteria; Bacillati; Actinomycetota; Actinomycetes.
CGCGGCCUAUCAGCUUGUUGGUGGGGUGAUGGCCUACCAAGGCGUUGACGGGUAGCCGGCCUGAGAGGGCGGUCGGUCACAUUGGGACUGAGAUACGGCCCAGACUCCUACGGGAGGCAGCAGUGGGGAAUUUUGCACAAUGGGCGCAAGCCUGAUGCAGCGACGCCGCGUGAGGGAUGACGGCUUUCGGGUUGUAAACCUCUUUUAUCCACCACGAAGGCUCCGUAUUCGCGGGGUUGACGGUAGUGGUUGAAUAAGCGCCGGCUAACUACGUGCCAGCAGCCGCGGUAAGACGUAGGGCGCGAGCGUUGUCCGGAUUUAUUGGGCGUAAAGGGCUCGUAGGCGGCCCGCUGCGUCUGCCGUGAAAGGCCUCGGCUUAACCGGGGUUUUGCGGUGGAUACGGGCGGGCUUGAGGCAAGUAGGGGAAACUGGAAUUCUACGUGUAGCGGUGAAAUGCGCAGAUAUGUGGAGGAACACCGGUGGCGAAGGCGGGUUUCUGGGCUUGUUCUGACGCUGAGGAGCGAAAGCAUGGGGAGCGAACAGGAUUAGAUACCCUGGUAGUCCAUGCCGUAAACGUUGGGCACUAGGUGUGGGGCUCAUUCCACGAGUUCCGUGCCGCAGCUAACGCAUUAAGUGCCCCGCCUGGGGAGUACGG